Molecule: ribosomal RNA, 440 nt
Filed under: uncultured bacterium
Lineage: Bacteria
Description: partial 16S ribosomal RNA
Rfam family: Bacterial small subunit ribosomal RNA
Source: RNAcentral
CCUACGGGGUGCAGCAGUGGGGAAUAUUGCACAAUGGGGGAAACCCUGAUGCAGCGACGCCGCGUGAGUGAAGAAGGAAUUCGGUAUGUAAAGCUCUAUCAGCAGGGAAGAAAAUGACGGUACCUGAGUAAGAAGCCCCGGCGAACUACGUGCCAGCAGCCGCGGUAAUACGUAGGGGGCAAGCGUUAUCCGGAUUUACUGGGGGUAAAGGGAGCGUAGACGGCAGUGCAAGUCUGGCGUGAAAGGCGGGGGCUCAACCCCCGGACUGCUCUGGAAACUGGACGGCUGGAGUGCAGGAGAGGUAAGUGGAAUUCCUAGUGUAGCGGUGAAAUGCGUAGAUCUUAGGAGGAACACCAGUGGCGAAGGCGGCUUACUGGACUGUACCUGCCGUUGAGGCUCGAAAGCGUGGGGAGCAAACAGGAUUAGAUACCCUAGUAGUC